GACGAACGCUGGCGGCGUGCUUAACACAUGCCAGUCGAACGAUGACGCCCGAGCUUGCUCGGUCUGAUUAGUGGCGAACGGGUGAGUAACACGUGAGCAACCUGCCCUUCACUCUGGGAUAACCUCGGGAAAUCGGGGCUAAUACCGGAUAUGAGCUCCUGUCGCAUGGCGGGUGUUGGAAAGUUUUUCGGUGAAGGAUGGGCUCGCGGCUUAUCAGUUUGUUGGUGAGGUAGUGGCUCACCAAGGCGAUGACGGGUAGCCGGCCUGAGAGGGCGACCGGCCACACUGGGACUGAGACACGGCCCAGACUCCUACGGGAGGCAGCAGUGGGGAAUAUUACACAAUGGGCGAAAGCCUGAUGCAGCGACGCCGCGUGAGGGAUGACGGCCUUCGGGUUGUAAACCUCUUUCAGCAGGGAAGAAGCGAAAGUGACGGUACCUGCAGAAGAAGCGCCGGCUAACUACGUG
Molecule: ribosomal RNA, 467 nt
Filed under: uncultured bacterium
Lineage: Bacteria
Description: partial 16S ribosomal RNA
Rfam family: Bacterial small subunit ribosomal RNA
Source: RNAcentral